GACGAACGCUGGCGGCGUGCCUAAUACAUGCAAGUAGAACGCUGAAGAGAGGAGCUUGCUCUUCUUGGAUGAGUUGCGAACGGGUGAGUAACGCGUAGGUAACCUGCCUUGUAGCGGGGGAUAACUAUUGGAAACGAUAGCUAAUACCGCAUAACAAUGGAUGACACAUGUCAUUUAUUUGAAAGGGGCAAUUGCUCCACUACAAGAUGGACCUGCGUUGUAUUAGCUAGUAGGUGAGGUAAUGGCUCACCUAGGCGACGAUACAUAGCCGACCUGAGAGGGUGAUCGGCCACACUGGGACUGCGACACGGCCCAGACUCCUACGGGAGGCAGCAGUAGGGAAUCUUCGGCAAUGGGGGCAACCCUGACCGAGCAACGCCGCGUGAGUGAAGAAGGUUUUCGGAUCGUAAAGCUCUGUUGUAAGUCAAGAACGGGUGUGAGAGUGGAAAGUUCACACUGUGACGGUAGCUUACCAGAAAGGGACGGCUAACUACGUG
RNAcentral lists this ribosomal RNA (497 nucleotides) under uncultured bacterium. Its description in RNAcentral is "partial 16S ribosomal RNA". It matches the Rfam family "Bacterial small subunit ribosomal RNA", at positions 28 to 507 of the family's 1533-position model. The record is from RNAcentral.